GACGAGGGAUCCUAGCGUUGUUCGGAAUCAUUGGGCGUAAAGGGUGCGUAGGUGGCCUUGCAAGUCAGUUGUGAAAUCCCCGGGCUCAACCCGGGAAGUGCUUCUGAUACUGCUUGGCUUGAGUAUUGGAGAGGUGAGUGGAAUUCCAGGUGUAGUGGUGAAAUACGUAGAUAUCUGGAGGAACACCGGCGGCGAAGGCGGCUCACUGGCCAUAUACUGACACUGAAGCACGAAAGCGUGGGGAGCAAACAGG
RNAcentral lists this ribosomal RNA (253 nucleotides) under uncultured bacterium. Its description in RNAcentral is "partial 16S ribosomal RNA". It matches the Rfam family "Bacterial small subunit ribosomal RNA", at positions 524 to 776 of the family's 1533-position model. The record is from RNAcentral.